ACUCCGAAUUGUUAUCAGUAAGUAACAUUCAAUUCAUUCAUAUGUUGUUCUUCAUCAAUACUAUAGCGCAUUCUCGUGAUCUAUUUCGGAAGUAAUAAGUUCCAAGAUGUUCGCUUACGUUAUACGUUCAUCCUUCAUCGUCGCCAUCGCGGCUGCCAGUUGUGUGCCAAAUCCAUGCCAGAACGGCGGCACAUGCUUUUCUUUCCCGAACCACAGUGAGGAUUUUGGCUGCACAUGUACUACCGGAUGGGACGGACAAUUUUGCACGACCCCUUUCCGAUACGUCGGAUGUUUUAAAGACACGUCGGCCCGUAUCAUGCAUGUCAGGCUACCCUAUUCGAAUUCAAACUCGCCGCUAGAGUGCGCCGCUCGGUGUCAUGCCUACGCUUAUAGCGGCACGCAGGUCAGUAA
Dreissena polymorpha is the source of this 411-nucleotide long non-coding RNA. RefSeq lists it as uncharacterized. Lineage: Eukaryota; Metazoa; Mollusca; Bivalvia; Myida; Dreissenidae. The record is from RefSeq and is a predicted model, not a curated record. The transcript is spliced from 3 exons.